UACAGAGGGUGCAAGCGUUGUUCGGAUUCACUGGGCGUAAAGGGUGCGCAGGUGGGUUGGCAAGUUUGACGUGAAAGCCCCGGGCUUAACCCGGGAAUGGCGUUGAAAACUGCUGAUCUGGAGGAUCGGAGGGGGGACUGGAAUUCUUGGUGUAGCAGUGAAAUGCGUAGAUAUCGGAAGGAACACCUGUGGCGAAAGCGGCUCACUGGACCACAACUGACGCUGAGGUGCGAAAGCGUGGGGAGCAAACAGG
This 253-nucleotide ribosomal RNA is filed under the name uncultured bacterium. Its description in RNAcentral is "partial 16S ribosomal RNA". It matches the Rfam family "Bacterial small subunit ribosomal RNA", at positions 524 to 776 of the family's 1533-position model. The record is from RNAcentral.